This 818-nucleotide unclassified non-coding RNA is filed under the name Hevea brasiliensis (rubber tree). Lineage: Eukaryota; Viridiplantae; Streptophyta; Magnoliopsida; Malpighiales; Euphorbiaceae. The record is from RNAcentral.
UGGUGUCUCAUCAGAAGGAAGAAUUGUGAAUGGAUUGGAUUGGUAUCCAUACAAUGCUGCAACUAGUGUCGUUGUUAUGGCAAUAUGAUAAGUGGUGUUGCACUUCCACUCUGCCAAUAAAUGCCCCUUAAACUAAGAAGUUUAUUGGUGGUGUGUCAUGUACCUUAGGUACCCUUCUAAACGCUGUUUCAGCCUCUCUGUUUGACCAAUAGACUGAGGAUGGUAUGCAAUAGUGAAUGUAAUAGAGGUUCCCAACAGCCUGAAAAAUUCUUUCCGGAAAACACUUGUAAAAAUUUUGUCCCUAUCAGUGACAAUGGACAAGGGGACCCCAUGAAGUUUAAAAAUGUUAUCUAAGAAAAUUUUGGCAACUGAAGAGGCAGUAAAAGGAUGUGUGAGACCCAGGAAAUGUCCAUACUUGGUGAAUCUACAAACUACCACCAAGACGACAACUUUAUCUCCUAAUUUAGGCAGCUGUUCAAUGAAGUCCAUUUAGAUAUGCUGCCAAGCCUGAGAAGGAAUUGGAAGUGGUUGCAACGAUCCUGGUAGAGCACAAUGUUCACAAUGUUCUCCUUUACAUCUAGCACAUACCACACUUUUUAAUCUGGCUCAUUUUUUAAGUCCUUUCCUAUACAAGAUUUUGUAAUCCAAACCAAGCAACUUUGAAAUACCCUUUAGCUGUAAAUUAGUGUGCAGCUUUUGUUCCAAGAGAAAUUUGAUACUUUCAUGGCCAGUUUUAAUAGAAAAUUUGCCUUGCUCAAAGUAGUGCUGCCAUUUUGUGACAGCAAAAGUGAUGGCCAGGAGCUCUUUUUCAUAUGCUG